GAGAAAAGUCCACAGUUGCGAUAUUUGAAUAAUAUGUACACUAUACAUAAUAAACAAUUAACAUACACAGAGCAAUGCAAUACAACACAGAUUUUAUACUGUAUAUUGUCGGGAGGCAUAUUAGCAAAAUAACAUUUGCUGUGAGUAGCAAUUAACACCGACAUUUAUGGAUAGCUUUCAUUUUAUUUACAUUAGCUAUUUUUAUUAUGUACAUUUUUAUCCGAUGUUGGCAAACAUACAGUUUGAUUCUAAGAAAAAAAGGAUAACUUAAAUACAGCCGCAAAAACAUAAACAUAGAAAGGCAGUAUAGUAGCGAGUAGCCCGUUCCGGGAAUAAUUUAUUUGUUUGUUCGCGCUUUAGAGUAACGAGUGCAAAAAAGAACACCUGAAGACGAACUCGUGACAGCAAUUAUCGGAUAAAAUUAAGCUAAAGCCGUAAAGGAUGGAACGUACCGUUAAAGCGCCAGGUAAACAGCGUAUGGGGUGCCAUCGUAUCUACCUGUUUCGACUGGGAGGUUAUGGUUAGCUGUUCUGAUUUUGAACAGGCUACUUCGCUCACGCUGAGGCAAAAGUGUAAGAUCCGUAGGUCAGAAUAGGGAGCACAGUGUGGUCAAAGAGCUUUAUAAUGAGGUCGCUUGGGAGGCUGGCAUUGUUUGCCCUUGUGAAAAGGAACGUUUGAAGUGCUGUGUUGUGAAAAAUGGACUGUCGUUCGCUGGUUAUAAAUUCAACUGUUUCCUUGGAUUGAGGGUUACGCAGAGCGCCUAUCCCCCCUUGGGCCUAUUUGUGAGAGUUCGAGGGAUUUGCACAGCUCGUGUUCAGGGGAUCCAAAUGAGCAUCGUUUUCAUUAGUGUUUGUGUGAGCAGUUUGGAGAGUUCUGGAAUUAACACCUGCUGCAGAUCGAUCAGUGUUUGUUUGGGUGUUCGUUGACUUUGAAGUCCAUGGGCGCUGGAAAGCGGAUUCCCCCGAGGCGGACGAUCUUUGGUUUAUCGGGGCGUGUGUGCGUCUUCUUGCUGGAGCAGGAGAUUCAGAUUGAGGACGCCUGGAAAUGUGUAUAUGUCCAUUUGACGAGGAGGUUAUUUUGUUGGUGUGGAUUUCCUGGACUGUUGGAUUUGGGGCUCCUUCAUAGUGCUCUAUGGACUGUGUAUUGUGGAUUUGACUGUGCUGUGUGACUUGUAGUGUGGGCAUCUCAUCGCCAGAAGCGGACUUAUGGUUCCCUUCAAAUUGUUAGGAUUUUGAACUAAGUGAUUUUGGACUAUAGUUGCUGUUUGGAGAAUAGUUGUGCUGCGUGGCAUGUGGAAUGGACGUCUCAUCGCCAUAAACGGAUUUGUGGUUCACUUCGUAUUGGUGGGGUUUCAAACUAAGUGAUUGGUGACUAUAGUUGCCAUUGGUCGUGAUUCUGUCGCCAUUUAGGACUUGGCUCCAAUCAGGGAACAUGUCUGCCACGACACGACCAUCUGCCAAUAUCUUUGCUGGGAAGACAAUGCUUAUUUUGCUCUUUGGAUGCAUACCACGAAGUCUUUUGAGCUCUGGCCACAGAGUUUUGCGAGCAUUUACAAUCUCUUUUGGGAAGUCUCUAUUUAUGUGAAAAUUUGUCUUUCUUAAUUUAUUUGCAUUUGCCAAUAUAAGCUCUGUGUCUCUAAAGUCAAGGAAAUAAACGAUGAUAGCUCUUGUAGAAUUUGAGCGGAAUCUACCUAGCCUGUGACAGGGCUUCCCCUGGCUCAAAAAUUUCUUUAGCCAACAAUUUAGCCAAUUGGAUUUUUUUGUAGCCAAAUUUUAGAAACUGUAGCCAAAGUGUGUGCUCUAGGGAUUGCAGGGCAUGGGUCAAUUUGGAGUUUGUCUUUCAGGAACCUGGCAAUUAAAGAAUGGCAGUUUUCACCUUUCAUUUCAUCUAUGCCACCUAUAAUUAGGUUAUUUCUCCGGCUUCUUGCUUCUAAAUCAAUUGACUUAUAUUCGAGUAAUUUCAGUCUCACAUCAUGUUGGUAUACUGAAUUUUCUAUAGAUUUCACUUGAUUGUGUAAGCUCAGACAGUCAUCAACUUUCUGUUCAAUACAGCUCAUCCGUGCAAACAUUACACACAGUUUAUCAUCAGUAUUUAGGCUUCCAUAUUCAUGUUGUGAUAUUGAAUGCUCCUCACCUUGAGUACUUUGACUGCCCGUGUUUACUCGUGCCCGUUUUCUUGAGUCGGCCAUUCCUUUGUUUGCUAGAACGUUAAACUGGUUUUCUGUCACAAACACGUCAUACUCACUGUUAUUGUACAAGUUUUUAUUGCUUGAAUGAUCCAUUGUUGCACAUCUUAUUUAAUGCUAUUAAAAUAUUAUAAAACGUU
Long non-coding RNA from Dreissena polymorpha, 2325 nucleotides. RefSeq lists it as uncharacterized. Lineage: Eukaryota; Metazoa; Mollusca; Bivalvia; Myida; Dreissenidae. The transcript has 5 exons. The record is from RefSeq and is a predicted model, not a curated record.